Molecule: ribosomal RNA, 774 nt
Filed under: uncultured Neocallimastigales
Lineage: Eukaryota; Fungi; Neocallimastigomycota; Neocallimastigomycetes; Neocallimastigales
Description: partial large subunit ribosomal RNA
Rfam family: Eukaryotic large subunit ribosomal RNA
Source: RNAcentral
UAUGUGAUCGUCUCUCGCAUAUCAAUAAGCGGAGGAAAAGAAACUAACAAGGAUUCCCCUAGUAACGGCGAGUGAAGCGGGAAGAGCUCAAAUUCGAAAUCUUAAAGGGUUUCCCUUUACGAAUUGUAGUUUAAAGAAGUGUUUUCUGUUGAGGUUUUGGUAAAAGUUCUUUGGAAUAGGACAUCAUAGAGGGUGAGAAUCCCGUAUUUGACCUUUACUUUCAACUUUGUGAUACACUUUCAAAGAGUCGGAUUGUUUGGGAAUGCAGUCCAAAAUGGGUGGUAAAUUUCAUCUAAAGCUAAAUAUUGGCGAGAGACCGAUAGCGAACAAGUACCGUGAGGGAAAGAUGAAAAGAACUUUGAAAAGAGAGUUAAACAGUACGUGAAAUUGUCAGAAGGGAAGCGUUUGACACCAGUGUUGUUUUUCUGAAAAUCAAUUAAAGAACUGUUUAUGCUAAGUUGUUUAGACUUUAUCAGCUAACUGUUUAGUUUUGAGCUUUUCUUUAAUGCACUUUUCAGUUAACAAGUCAACAUCAAUUUCUUUUGCUGUAAAAAAGCUUGAGGAAGGUGGCUUGAGAUUCGUCUUAAGUGUUUAUAGCCUCUUGCCUAUGCAGUCGGAGAGAUUGAGGUCUGCAGCGUAGAUCCUUCGGGGCUAAAUGCAUUUGUGCUAAGUUAUAGCAUUUUAUAGACAACUUGUUGACUAUGAUUUGUCUUGUAGCUUACUCGCUUAUGUUAUUUUACCUACGCUUAGGAUGUUGAGUAGCGACAUACGCAC